UCCCCCCGCCCCCAGCAGCUGCCUGCGCUACCAGGCGAAGCGGUGCCGAGUUCUCACCGCCAUUUGCAAACAAAAGUUUUAAAUUAAUGAUAAACCUGGGAUCGGCGGAAGGGCGGCGGAGAGGAGGCCAACGAGGGAAAGUUAAAAUGGCUGGCGAUCCUUCAAAUAACCCUGGCCAUUUCGCCCACGUACGCGACAGAGUCCCAGUCUUCCCUGCCAGCGCUGGGGAACCACCCCCACCUAUUUUAGGGGGAACCCCGCGGCAAAAGGGGCGGGGAAGGGAGCACGCGGCUCACUUUGGAGAGUUCACAGAGGUGCCGCCGUCUGCAGGUUAUUAGAUCUGGAGCACAGUGAAGCACAUGCUUGAGCCCCCCACUGAAAUACACCGAGGAGGUGGGGGGGGGGAAGGAGGACAUUUUAUUUGCUGAAGCAGAGACACGGCUGGCACCCAAGUUGGGGUUGUUUAGGGUGAAGAAGAGGGGCCUUGACACAGGGGAGCUGACCCUCCACGGGCCACCCUGUGAGAGUGUUAUAAGGGUCACCGCUGAAACGUGCACUUGGCAAGCGACCGUCCGCGCCAUUUUAGAGACACACAGAGGAGCGAGGGUUUCCGCUGCUGCUGCCAGAGACAACAGGCAGCAGCCGAGCCUGAGCUGCGCCGGAGGAGCAGCAGAAGAGAGAUAGAUACAGCCGGCCUGGCACCAAUGUGCAUUUCAGAACUCAGCACGGAAACAAAGCACUGAAGCAACUGCUAUGCAGAUGGGCGGCUAUGAAUUUUUGCUGCUGCUUAGAGCUUUAAUUACUCGCUCUUGAUCCGGGGGACUACGACACUACACCGCCAAGGUUAAAAUGCCCUGAACAGCUCUGAGCAGAUGUGAGCGAGUUGGCAGACGCGCAAAUGAGGUCUGCCUCUAAGCACGAUAACAAGUGACUAAUACAUUGCAUAUCUCUGAAAGAAAAUUAUUUUUCUCUAAUUUGCAUUAGCUUUUUUUAAAGCCAGCGACAGUCCCUCCGCAGAGGCAGCACUAUAAUCCUGGAAAUACUGCUCCCUGACUUUAAAAGAUUUGGAAGAAGGAAGAGAGUGCCAGUAUUUUGGCGAUGUAGACUUGUUUAUCUUUCCGCCUUAGCUUCAAGGCGAAACUAGUUUCGCAAGCAACGUUCCUACAGAAAUGGCAUACGUCAUAUAAAAGAUUAAUUUAUAGCAUUGACGCUAAGAUUAUUGAAUUACUAUUGGAGUAACUUCCGCCGUCAACAGCACA
Long non-coding RNA from Malaclemys terrapin pileata, 1259 nucleotides. RefSeq lists it as uncharacterized. The record is from RefSeq and is a predicted model, not a curated record. The transcript is spliced from 3 exons. NCBI's taxonomy places the organism in Eukaryota, Metazoa, Chordata, Testudines, Emydidae.